This 792-nucleotide ribosomal RNA is filed under the name Listeria monocytogenes. RNAcentral's name for it is "bacterial LSU rRNA". It matches the Rfam family "Bacterial large subunit ribosomal RNA", at positions 1 to 787 of the family's 2925-position model. Lineage: Bacteria; Bacillati; Bacillota; Bacilli; Caryophanales; Listeriaceae. The record is from RNAcentral.
UUGGUUAAGUUAGAAAGGGCGCACGGUGGAUGCCUUGGCACUAGGAGCCGAAGAAGGACGGGACUAACACCGAUAUGCUUUGGGGAGCUGUACGUAAGCGUUGAUCCAGAGAUUUCCGAAUGGGGGAACCCACUAUCUUUAGUCGGAUAGUAUCCUUACGUGAAUACAUAGCGUGAGGAAGGCAGACCCAGGGAACUGAAACAUCUAAGUACCUGGAGGAAGAGAAAGAAAAAUCGAUUUCCUGAGUAGCGGCGAGCGAAACGGAAAGAGCCCAAACCAAGAAGCUUGCUUCUUGGGGUUGUAGGACACUCUAUACGGAGUUACAAAAGAAAGUUAUAAAUGAAGCGGUCUGGAAAGGCCCGCCAAAGACGGUAACAGCCCGGUAGUUGAAAUGGCUUUCCCUCCAGAGUGGAUCCUGAGUACGGCGGAACACGUGAAAUUCCGUCGGAAUCCGGGAGGACCAUCUCCCAAGGCUAAAUACUCCCUAGUGACCGAUAGUGAACCAGUACCGUGAGGGAAAGGUGAAAAGCACCCCGGAAGGGGAGUGAAACAGUUCCUGAAACCGUGUGCCUACAAGUAGUUAGAGCCCGUUAAUGGGUGAUAGCGUGCCUUUUGUAGAAUGAACCGGCGAGUUACGAUUUGUUGCAAGGUUAAGCGGAAAAAGCGGAGCCGUAGCGAAAGCGAGUCUGAAUAGGGCGCAUAAGUAACAGGUCGUAGACCCGAAACCAGGUGAUCUACCCAUGUCCAGGAUGAAGGUAAGGUAAUACUUACUGGAGGUCCGAACCCACGCAC